AAUCAGCCCCCUAUGUUUUGAUUCUUUGGCAGUUUUGGACCCCCAAGACAAAAAAAAUUAAAAAAAAUGACACGUGGCACCUCACUUAGGGUGCCACGUCAGCGUUGACCGAGUCAACAAUGGACUGGGGGUCCAAAACUGUCAAAUAAUCAAAACAUAGGGGGCUGUUU
Molecule: microRNA precursor, 170 nt
Organism: Medicago truncatula (barrel medic)
Lineage: Eukaryota; Viridiplantae; Streptophyta; Magnoliopsida; Fabales; Fabaceae
Rfam family: MIR2619 microRNA precursor family
Source: Rfam